CAACAAGGCAAUUGGGCCAAGGGGCCUUGAGGCCCACCAUGAAAUGCAGAUGAGGAUGAAGCCAACAUAUCCCAUUCACUUCAUAAUUCCCUCAUGUUCAAUUCUUUUUCCUUCAAACAAUUUCCUCACCUGAACCUUGGCUCCGCCGCAGUGGAAAUCCUCUCCGGUGGCAGCGGAGGUCCAAACCACAUCUAACCUAGCUCAAUCCAUUCGUCUACCCUCCCUCUUUCUCAUUCUCACACAAAUAUUCCUGAAUUCCUUACCACUAAUCUGAAUUGAAGCAAAGAAAAUAUGAACUCUAGAAACGAAAUUAGCAAUUAAAUGGGGAUUAUGAGGGAGAUGGAGUCCAAACCUUAGGGUUUUGGCUCAUUGGAAGCUAAGCUACAUCGUGGCAAUGCUAUUGAGGCAAAAAAUAAGGAGAAUUGAAGACCUACUUGCAAAUUGGAGCCGAUGAAGAUGAAGAAAAAAAGAAUACCAGAGGCAUGGCAUAGAUAAACUAAUGGCAAGGCAUAAGAUAACAUGUUCAAUAUUGACAAGGCAUGAAGGUUGACACAAAUGAAGAAAAUUAAUAUCAUGGAAGCACCUGGAGGCACAAGGAGAGAAGGCUUAUGAGGAUGAGGACCCAAUAGCCAUUUUUUAGGAUUUAGGAUAGUUAGUUGACUUUGGUCAACUAUUUUACCAAAAAGUCAACUAAAUAAAUUCAACUUUAAGUCAACAAUGUCUAUUUUUGUGUAGAAUUGGAUUUUGAACUUCUUGUAAUGGAACUUUGGGUGAUUUGAAAUGAAAUCGACCCUUGAAUUGUAGCA
This is a long non-coding RNA of Lathyrus oleraceus (garden pea), 806 nucleotides long. RefSeq lists it as uncharacterized. NCBI's taxonomy places the organism in Eukaryota, Viridiplantae, Streptophyta, Magnoliopsida, Fabales, Fabaceae. The record is from RefSeq and is a predicted model, not a curated record. The transcript has 2 exons.